GAUGAACGCUGGCGGCGUGCCUAAUACAUGCAAGUCGAACGCAUUGUGGUUGAAAUGAUAUGAAGAACUUGUUCAGAUUUGAUUUUCAACAUUGCAAUGAGUGGCGAACGGGUGAGUAACACGUGGGAAACCCACCUCUUAGCAGGGGAUAACAUUUGGAAACAAAUGCUAAUACCGUAUAAUAAUUAAAACCGCAUGGUUUUAGUUUAAAAGAUGGUCUUGCUAUCACUAAGAGAUGGUCCCGCGGUGUAUUAGUUAGUUGGUGAGGUAAUGGCUCACCAAGACAAUGAUACAUAGCCGAGUUGAGAGACUGACCGGCCACAAUGGGACUGAGACACGGCCCAUACUCCUACGGGAGCAGCAGUAGGGAAUCUUCCACAAUGGACGAAAGUCUGAUGGAGCAACGCCGCGUGUGUGAUGAAGGUUUCGCUCGUAAAACACUGUUAGUAAGAGAGAAUGACAUUGAGAGUAACUGUUCAAUGU
This 483-nucleotide ribosomal RNA is filed under the name uncultured bacterium. RNAcentral describes it as "bacterial SSU rRNA". It matches the Rfam family "Bacterial small subunit ribosomal RNA", at positions 28 to 475 of the family's 1533-position model. The record is from RNAcentral.